This 572-nucleotide ribosomal RNA is filed under the name Saccharomyces cerevisiae (brewer's yeast). RNAcentral describes it as "partial large subunit ribosomal RNA". It matches the Rfam family "Eukaryotic large subunit ribosomal RNA", at positions 62 to 648 of the family's 3401-position model. The record is from RNAcentral. Lineage: Eukaryota; Fungi; Ascomycota; Saccharomycetes; Saccharomycetales; Saccharomycetaceae.
AAACCAACCGGGAUUGCCUUAGUAACGGCGAGUGGAGCGGCAAAAGCUCAAAUUUGAAAUCUGGUACCUUCGGUGCCCGAGUUGUAAUUUGGAGAGGGCAACUUUGGGGCCGUUCCUUGUCUAUGUUCCUUGGAACAGGACGUCAUAGAGGGUGAGAAUCCCGUGUGGCGAGGAGUGCGGUUCUUUGUAAAGUGCCUUCGAAGAGUCGAGUUGUUUGGGAAUGCAGCUCUAAGUGGGUGGUAAAUUCCAUCUAAAGCUAAAUAUUGGCGAGAGACCGAUAGCGAACAAGUACAGUGAUGGAAAGAUGAAAAGAACUUUGAAAAGAGAGUGAAAAAGUACGUGAAAUUGUUGAAAGGGAAGGGCAUUUGAUCAGACAUGGUGUUUUGUGCCCUCUGCUCCUUGUGGGUAGGGGAAUCUCGCAUUUCACUGGGCCAGCAUCAGUUUUGGUGGCAGGAUAAAUCCAUAGGAAUGUAGCUUGCCUCGGUAAGUAUUAUAGCCUGUGGGAAUACUGCCAGCUGGGACUGAGGACUGCGACGUAAGUCAAGGAUGCUGGCAUAAUGGUUAUAUGCCGC